Molecule: ribosomal RNA, 254 nt
Filed under: uncultured bacterium
Lineage: Bacteria
Description: partial 16S ribosomal RNA
Rfam family: Bacterial small subunit ribosomal RNA
Source: RNAcentral
UACGUAGGUGGCAAGCGUUGUCCGGAAUUAUUGGGCGUAAAGGGCUCGUAGGCGGCCAACUAAGUCAGACGUGAAAUCCCUCGGCUUAACCGGGGAACUGCGUCUGAUACUGGAUGGCUUGAGUUUGGGAGAGGGAUGCGGAAUUCCAGGUGUAGCGGUGAAAUGCGUAGAUAUCUGGAGGAACACCGGUGGCGAAGGCGGCAUCCUGGACCAACACUGACGCUGAGUGAGCGAAAGCCAGGGGAGCAAACGGG